This 103-nucleotide transfer RNA is filed under the name Escovopsis weberi. It matches the Rfam family "tRNA". Rfam says of the family: Transfer RNA (tRNA) molecules are approximately 80 nucleotides in length. Their secondary structure includes four short double-helical elements and three loops (D, anti-codon, and T loops). Further hydrogen bonds mediate the characteristic L-shaped molecular structure. tRNAs have two regions of fundamental functional importance: the anti-codon, which is responsible for specific mRNA codon recognition, and the 3' end, to which the tRNAs corresponding amino acid is attached (by aminoacyl-tRNA synthetases). tRNAs cope with the degeneracy of the genetic code in two manners: having more than one tRNA (with a specific anti-codon) for a particular amino acid; and 'wobble' base-pairing, i.e. permitting non-standard base-pairing at the 3rd anti-codon position. The record is from Rfam by way of RNAcentral. Lineage: Eukaryota; Fungi; Ascomycota; Sordariomycetes; Hypocreales; Hypocreaceae.
GCCAAGAUGGCCGAGUGGUUAAGGCGAUGGUUUUAAGUCGUGGCUCCCUUCAGCUUGAACACCAUUAUCGAGAGAUUCCAGGGUUCGAACCCCUGUCUUGGCA